GGUGACGUGCCUGAGUGGUCCAAAGGAACGGUUUGCAAAACCGUACAGCCGCCGGUUCAAAUCCGGCCGUCACCUCCA
RNAcentral lists this transfer RNA (78 nucleotides) under Bdellovibrionales bacterium. RNAcentral's name for it is "tRNA-Cys". It matches the Rfam family "tRNA". Rfam says of the family: Transfer RNA (tRNA) molecules are approximately 80 nucleotides in length. RNAcentral also lists the same sequence under 1 other name. Lineage: Bacteria; Pseudomonadati; Bdellovibrionota; Bdellovibrionia; Bdellovibrionales. The record is from RNAcentral.